AGUGGGGAAUAUUGGGCAAUGGGCGCAAGCCUGACCCAGCAACGCCGCGUGAGGGAAGAAUGUCUUCGGAUUGUAAACCUCUGUCCUUGGGGACGAAAAAAAUGACGGAACCCAAGGAGGAAGCUCCGGCUAACUACGUGCCAGCAGCCGCGGUAAUACGUAGGGAGCAAGCGUUGUCCGGAAUUAUUGGGCGUAAAGGGUGCGUAGGCGGCGCUGCAAGUCAGAUGUGAAAUCCCCAGGCUUAACUUGGGAGUUGCAUUUGAAACUGCAGUGCUUGAGUAAAGAAGAGGUAAGUGGAAUUCCUAGUGUAGCGGUGGAAUGCGUAGAUAUUAGGAGGAACACCAGUGGCGAAGGCGACUUACUGGUCUUUUACUGACGCUGAGGCACGAAAGCGUGGGGAGCAAACAGGAUUAGAUACCCUGGUAGUCCACGCUGUAAACGAUGGAUACUAGGUGUGGGGGACAUACAACCUCUGUGCCGGAGCGAACGCAUUAAGUAUCCCGCCUGGGGAGUACGGUCGCAAGGCUG
Molecule: ribosomal RNA, 528 nt
Filed under: uncultured bacterium
Lineage: Bacteria
Description: bacterial SSU rRNA
Rfam family: Bacterial small subunit ribosomal RNA
Source: RNAcentral